UACGGGGGGAGCAAGCGUUGUUCGGAUUACUGGGCGUAAAGGGCGCGUAGGCGGCCACCGCAAGUCGACUGUGAAAUCUCCGGGCUUAACCCGGAAAGGUCAGCCGAUACUGCGGGGCUAGAGUGCAGAAGGGGCAACUGGAAUUUACGGUGUAGCAGUGAAAUGCGUAGAGAUCGUAAGGAAGACCAGUGGCGAAGGCGAGUCUCUGGACAGUUACUGACGCUGAGGCACGAAGGCCAGGGGAGCAAACGGG
This 253-nucleotide ribosomal RNA is filed under the name uncultured bacterium. Its description in RNAcentral is "partial 16S ribosomal RNA". It matches the Rfam family "Bacterial small subunit ribosomal RNA", at positions 524 to 776 of the family's 1533-position model. The record is from RNAcentral.